AUACGGAGGGUGCAAGCGUUACUCGGAAUCACUGGGCGUAAAGGACGCGUGGGCGGGAUAGUAAGUCUGAUGUGAAAUCCUAUGGCUCAACCAUAGAACUGCAUUGGAAACUACUGACCUAGAGUAUGGGAGGGGGAGAUGGAAUUAGUAGUGUAGGGGUAAAAUCCGUAGAUAUUACUAGGAAUACCGAAAGCGAAGGCGAUCUCCUGGAACAAUACUGACGCUAAGGCGUGAAAGCGUGGGGAGCAAACAGGAUUAGAAACCCUAGUAGUCC
RNAcentral lists this ribosomal RNA (274 nucleotides) under uncultured bacterium. RNAcentral's name for it is "partial 16S ribosomal RNA". It matches the Rfam family "Bacterial small subunit ribosomal RNA", at positions 523 to 796 of the family's 1533-position model. The record is from RNAcentral.